UGUCCCUAGAAUUUCUAAGCAAACAGCGGGAGGCAGGGCUUUCUCCUAUAGAUCUCCAUUUUUAUGGAACAGUCUGCCUACCCAUGUGAGAGACGCAGACUCGGUCUCAACCUUUAAGUCUUUACUGAAGACUUAUCUCUUCAGUAGGUCAUAUGAUUGAGUGUAGUCUGGCCCAGGAGUGUGAAGGUGAACGGAAAGGCUCUGGAGCAACGAACCGCCCUUGCUGUCUCUGCCUGGCCGGUUCCCCGCUCUCCACUGGGAUUCUCUGCCUCUAACAAUGUUACAGGGGCUGAGUCACUGGCUUACUGGUGCUCUUUCAUGCCGUCCCUGGGAGGGGUGCGUCACUUGAGUGGGUUGAGUUACUGACGUGAUCUUCCUGUCUGGGUUGGCGCCCCCCCUUGGUUUGUGCUGUGGUGGAGAUCUUUGUUGGCUAAACUCGGCCUUGUCUCAGGAUUAUAAGUUGGUGGUUGAAUAUAUCCCUCCAGUGGUGCGGGGGCUGUGCUUUGGCAAAGUGGGUGGGGUUAUAUCCUUCCUAUUUGGCCCUGUCCGGGGGUAUCUUCGGAUGGGGCCACAGUGUCUCCUGACCGCUCCUGUCUCAGCCUCCAGUAUUUAUGCUGCAGUAGUUUGUGUCGGGGGGCUAGGGUCAGUUGGUUAUACCUGGAGUACUUCUCCUGUCUUAUCCAGUGUCCUGUGUGAAUUUAAGUAUGCUUUCUCUAAUUCUCUCGUUCUCUCUUUCUUUCUCUCUCUGAGAACCUGAGCCGUAGGACCAUACGUCAGGACUACCGGGCAUGACGACUCUCUGCUGCCCCAAAUCCCCCUAGCCUUGCUGCUAUUCCAGUUUCAACGGACCUGAGCCCUGGGACCAUACGUCGGGACUGCCGGGCGUGGUGGCUCCUUGCUGUCCCCAGUCCGCCUGGCCUUGCUGCUGUUCUGCCUGCGGUUAUGGAACCGCCACCUGUCCCAGACCUGUUGUUUUUCAACUCUUAAUGAUCGGCUAUGAAAAGCCAACUGAAUAUUAUUCAUGAUUAUUAUUUGACCAUGCUUGUCACUUAUGAACAUUUUUGAACAUCUUGGCAUAGUUCUGUUAUAAUCUCCACCCGGCACAGCCAGAAGAGGACUGGCCACCCCUCAUAGCCUGGUUCCUCUCUAGGUUUCUUCCUAGGUUUUGGCCUUUCUAAGGAGUUUUUCCUAGCCACCGUGCUUCUACACCUGCAUUCUAGCUGUUUGGGGUUUUAGGCUGGGUCUCUGUACAGCACUUCGAGACAUUAGCUGAUGUACAAAGGGCUAUAUAAAAUAAACUUGAUUGAUUGAUUGA
Molecule: long non-coding RNA, 1315 nt
Organism: Salvelinus fontinalis (brook trout)
Lineage: Eukaryota; Metazoa; Chordata; Actinopteri; Salmoniformes; Salmonidae
Exons: 2
Source: RefSeq, a predicted model, not a curated record